AGAGUUUGAUCAUGGCUCAGAUUGAACGCUGGCGGCAGGCCUAACACAUGCAAGUCGAGCGGAUGAAGGGAGCUUGCUCCUGGAUUUAGCGGCGGACGGGUGAGUAAUGCCUAGGAAUCUGCCUGGUAGUGGGGGAUAACGUUCCGAAAGGAACGCUAAUACCGCGUACGUCCUACGGGAGAAAGCAGGGGACCUUCGGGCCUUGCGCUAUCAGAUGAGCCUAGGUCGGAUUAGCUAGUUGGUGAGGUAAUGGCUCACCAAGGCGACGAUCCGUAACUGGUCUGAGAGGAUGAUCAGUCACACUGGAACUGAGACACGGUCCAGACUCCUACGGGAGGCAGCAGUGGGGAAUAUUGGACAAUGGGCGAAAGCCUGAUCCAGCCAUGCCGCGUGUGUGAAGAAGGUCUUCGGAUUGUAAAGCACUUUAAGUUGGGAGGAAGGGUUGUACGUUAAUACCGUGCAAUUUUGACG
Molecule: ribosomal RNA, 471 nt
Filed under: Pseudomonas sp. S-14-25-1
Lineage: Bacteria; Pseudomonadati; Pseudomonadota; Gammaproteobacteria; Pseudomonadales; Pseudomonadaceae
Description: bacterial SSU rRNA
Rfam family: Bacterial small subunit ribosomal RNA
Source: RNAcentral